CGGUGGAGCAUGUGGUUUAAUUCGAAGCAACGCGAAGAACCUUACCAGGCCUUGACAUGCAGAGAACUUUCCAGAGAUGGAUUGGUGCCUUCGGGAACUCUGACACAGGUGCUGCAUGGCUGUCGUCAGCUCGUGUCGUGAGAUGUUGGGUUAAGUCCCGUAACGAGCGCAACCCUUGUCCUUAGUUACCAGCACGUUAUGGUGGGCACUCUAAGGAGACUGCCGGUGACAAACCGGAGGAAGGUGGAGAUGACGUCAAGUCAUCAUGGCCCUUACGGCCUGGGCUACACACGUGCUACAAUGGUCGGUACAAAGGGUUGCCAAGCCGCGAGGUGGAGCUAAUCCCAUAAAACCGAUCGUAGUCCGGAUCGCAGUCUGCAACUCGACUGCGUGAAGUCGGAAUCGCUAGUAAUCGUGAAUCAGAAUGUCACGGUGAAUACGUUCCCGGGCCUU
RNAcentral lists this ribosomal RNA (453 nucleotides) under uncultured Pseudomonas sp. RNAcentral describes it as "bacterial SSU rRNA". It matches the Rfam family "Bacterial small subunit ribosomal RNA", at positions 930 to 1382 of the family's 1533-position model. Lineage: Bacteria; Pseudomonadati; Pseudomonadota; Gammaproteobacteria; Pseudomonadales; Pseudomonadaceae. The record is from RNAcentral.